CUCUGGUAAGCAUGCAGCUAACUAGCACUAUGGCUUGAGAGAAAGCCAAGCAGAAAGCAUAUACUCCGUCUGUUCUUUCCUCCAGUUGGCUCUAGUGAUUUCAUUUUUUUAACCACCUCUCAACCCAAAAGAGAUGAAUGAAGGAUCCCAGGAGUUAAACCGGAUAGUCACAGAACUCCCUAUGCCUGCACAUUGGUCCACAGGUAUGAAAAAGUGGAAUUUUUCUGCAGGUCAAGGGUAAUAUGCAUUGAAUAUCCCAGCUUGAUUUCCAAUGGGGUUUUAUGUAAUGGCGAAGAAUUUUAUUGAGCAAAAUUAAACAGGAGUAAAAUCUAAGCCUUCAAGGAAGAUUAACCUCAGCUUCAAGAAAACUACAGGCAGCAACGAAACUAAGCUGCAGGACUGUACCAGGGCACUUGUAAUAAAAAUCAGAUCAUUAUAGUGGAUUAUCCACUGCAAAUGACCCAACAGCAAGUGUGGUGCCAUCUUGGGAAGUGGAGGCAUCAGCACAAAUGAUCCAAACUCCUCAUAGAUUUCAACGAUCCAUUAAGCUGGUUCUAGAACACUACCACGCCAGCAGCAACAUCCUGGACUUCAUGAUCAGCUUCAGCAAUGGAAGCCUUUAGACAACUAUAUAUAAGAAACCCCUGGAUCACCACAUAUACACAGAUCCAGCAACCACCCCAGAUAUAUCAGAAAAUCUCUUAUUCAAAACUAGGCACUCAGAUACUGCAGAAUAUGCUCCAAGGAGAAAUUCCAGGAUACACACCUAAAUGUGCUUAGAACUGCCUUCACUAAACAGGGACACUCCACCAGAUAAGUAGAUUUGCAUCACGGAAUAGGCCUGGGAGAACCUGCUUCAGUAAAGAAAAGAAACCCUCUGACGACUCAUCCCUAGUUGUCACUUGCCACCCCUCGUUAUAACCCAUGAUAUGCAGUAUCAAUAAACAACCUUAUUCAAUGGGGACCACAUCCUGAAAUAAAUCUUUCCAGAAUCUUCUCUUCUCGCCUUCGAACAAUCCUACCUUGCCACAUUCAUCAUCAGAAGAAAGAUUCCCACAGACCAGGACACGCCAACUCAAAGUGUCACCAGACCCUGUCAGAACAACAGAUGCAAAACCUGCAGACAUAUCUCCACUGCUACAAUGAUCAAUACCACCUUCCCCAUGACAUAUCUUUCAAGAUUCCUGGGUCCUAAAUAUGCCUGUCACUAUACGUGGUGUUCCUCAGCUAGUGCAUCAAAUGCCCCAACAACAAUGGUGGGUGAAACCAGACAAUCACUACUUUCUUGAUUAAACUCUCUCACACACACACAAGACAAAACCCCCAUAUCACCCAUGGGUAAACCCUUUUUACACAGCAAUCACUCCAUAUCUGACCUGUCAGUCCUCAUCCUGAAAGGAAACCUGAACACCUCUAAAAGACAAGCCUGGGAACUUAAAUUCAUGAGUCCAGCAGAGGGCAACAAAAAUUAUUAGGGGGCUGGAGCACAUGAUUUGUAAGGAGAGGCUGAGGGAACUGGAAUUAUUUAGUCUGCAGAAGAGAAGAAUGAGGGGGGAUUUGAUAGCUGCUUUCAACUACCUGAAAGGGGGUUCCAGAGAGGAUCGAUCUGGAUUGUUCUCAGUGGUACCAGAUGACAGAACAAGGAAUAAUGGUCUCAAGUUGCAGUUUAGGUUGGAUAUUAGGAAAAACUUUUUCACUAGGAGGGUAGUGAAGCACUGGAAUGGUUUACCUAGAGAAGUGGAGGAAUCUCCUUCCUUGGAGGUUUUUAAGGUCAGGCUUCCAACCCUAGUAUUCUAUGAUUCUAACUCUGCUGGAUGCUGGAAACCAUGGACUUAACAGAGAGACUGGUUUUAUGACUCAUUACAACAAUUUGUAACACCACCCGACUGCCUGCUAAAUUUUUUCACUUCAUGUUGAGUGAUUUCCUACCGCAUGUGAACCCCUUACACUUAAGAAUCUGUCCCAUCUUAUAUUUAUGUUGGACUCUCUAGCUACCUUCUGCAGACCUGAGGAGGAUCUCUGUGAAGCUCAGAAGCUUGUCACUUCUGCCAACAGAAGUUGGUCUAGUAAAAGAUAUUACCUCAGUUACCUUGUCUCUGUCAAAAAAUUACUUCAUUGCAUUAACAAUGCUUGAGUUAUGAAUUUUUUUUUGCAGUUUUGCCAAACUACAAUUAGUGAAAAGCUAUUUAAAUAUUUUAUAGCUGUGCUGUGUUACACAGUAAUUGUGUACUUAAUAAUAUAUGGUGUACAACAUUACUUACGAGAGACGUUAAUUUGCUUCUUAAAGAAGUUUUAAAAAUUAGCUAAAAUACUUCAUGUCCUGUAUGUUUAUUGUUUCAUAAUAUUACUCACAUCUUUAAAUUACAUG
Malaclemys terrapin pileata is the source of this 2368-nucleotide long non-coding RNA. RefSeq lists it as uncharacterized. The transcript is spliced from 4 exons. The record is from RefSeq and is a predicted model, not a curated record. NCBI's taxonomy places the organism in Eukaryota, Metazoa, Chordata, Testudines, Emydidae.